RNAcentral lists this ribosomal RNA (22 nucleotides) under Ascosphaera apis. Its description in RNAcentral is "partial 28S ribosomal RNA". RNAcentral also lists the same sequence under 1 other name. Lineage: Eukaryota; Fungi; Ascomycota; Eurotiomycetes; Onygenales; Ascosphaeraceae. The record is from RNAcentral.
UUGACCUCGGAUCAGGUAGGGU